AUUGAACGCUGGCGGCAGGCCUAACACAUGCAAGUCGAGCGGAUGAAGGGGGCUUGCUCCUGGAUUCAGCGGCGGACGGGUGAGUAAUGCCUAGGAAUCUGCCUGGUAGUGGGGGAUAACGUCCGGAAACGGGCGCUAAUACCGCAUACGUCCUGAGGGAGAAAGUGGGGGAUCUUCGGACCUCACGCUAUCAGAUGAGCCUAGGUCGGAUUAGCUAGUUGGUGGGGUAAAGGCCUACCAAGGCGACGAUCCGUAACUGGUCUGAGAGGAUGAUCAGUCACACUGGAACUGAGACACGGUCCAGACUCCUACGGGAGGCAGCAGUGGGGAAUAUUAGACAAUGGGCGAAAGCCUGAUCCAGCCAUGCCGCGUGUGUGAAGAAGGUCUUCGGAUUGUAAAGCACUUUAAGUUGGGAGGAAGGGCAGUAAGUUAAUACCUUGCUGUUUUGACGUUACCAACAGAAUAAGCACCGGCUAACUUCGUG
RNAcentral lists this ribosomal RNA (484 nucleotides) under uncultured bacterium. RNAcentral's name for it is "partial 16S ribosomal RNA". It matches the Rfam family "Bacterial small subunit ribosomal RNA", at positions 30 to 507 of the family's 1533-position model. The record is from RNAcentral.